CUUGCUAAGUUUGGUGGCGACCGGCGCACGGGUGAGUAACACGUAUCCAACCUGCCGAUGACUCGGGGAUAGCCUUUCGAAAGAAAGAUUAAUACCCGAUGGCAUAGUUCUUCCGCAUGGUAGAACUAUUAAAGGAUUUCGGUCAUCGAUGGGGAUGCGUUCCAUUAGGUUGUUGGCGGGGUAACGGCCCACCAAGCCUUCGAUGGAUAGGGGUUCUGAGAGGAAGGUCCCCCACAUUGGAACUGAGACACGGUCCAAACUCCUACGGGAGGCAGCAUG
RNAcentral lists this ribosomal RNA (279 nucleotides) under uncultured bacterium. RNAcentral describes it as "partial 16S ribosomal RNA". It matches the Rfam family "Bacterial small subunit ribosomal RNA", at positions 74 to 353 of the family's 1533-position model. The record is from RNAcentral.